This 243-nucleotide ribosomal RNA is filed under the name uncultured bacterium. RNAcentral's name for it is "partial 16S ribosomal RNA". It matches the Rfam family "Bacterial small subunit ribosomal RNA", at positions 92 to 334 of the family's 1533-position model. The record is from RNAcentral.
CGAGUGGCGCACGGGUGCGUAACGCGUAUACAAUCUACCUUUUACAGGGGGAUAGCCCAGAGAAAUUUGGAUUAAUACCCCAUGGCAUCCCGCCCCCGCAUGGGGCGCGGGAUUAAAGAUUCAUCGGUAAGAGAUGAGUAUGCGUUCUAUUAGCUAGUAGGUGCGGUAACGGCGCACCUAGGCUACGAUAGAUAGGGGCCCUGAGAGGGGGAUCCCCCACACUGGUACUGAGACACGGACCAG